This 107-nucleotide small nuclear RNA is filed under the name Erinaceus europaeus (western European hedgehog). The record is from RNAcentral. Lineage: Eukaryota; Metazoa; Chordata; Mammalia; Eulipotyphla; Erinaceidae.
AUCCUAGCUUUGAUAGUACAUAUACUGAAAUUGGCAUGAUACAGAGAAGAUUAGCAUGGCCCCUGCUCAAGGAUUACACACAAAUUCAUGAAGUGUAACAUAUUUUU